This 484-nucleotide ribosomal RNA is filed under the name uncultured bacterium. RNAcentral's name for it is "bacterial SSU rRNA". It matches the Rfam family "Bacterial small subunit ribosomal RNA", at positions 30 to 507 of the family's 1533-position model. The record is from RNAcentral.
AUUGAACGCUGGCGGCAUGCCUUACACAUGCAAGUCGAACGGCAGCACGGGAGUAAUCCUGGUGGCGAGUGGCGAACGGGUGAGUAAUAUAUCGGAACGUGCCCAGUCGUGGGGGAUAACGUAGCGAAAGCUACGCUAAUACCGCAUACGAUCUAUGGAUGAAAGCGGGGGAUCGCAAGACCUCGCGCGAUUGGAGCGGCCGAUAUCAGAUUAGCUAGUUGGUGGGGUAAAAGCUCACCAAGGCGACGAUCUGUAGCUGGUCUGAGAGGACGACCAGCCACACUGGAACUGAGACACGGUCCAGACUCCUACGGGAGGCAGCAGUGGGGAAUUUUGGACAAUGGGCGAAAGCCUGAUCCAGCAAUGCCGCGUGCAGGACGAAGGCCUUCGGGUUGUAAACUGCUUUUGUACGGAACGAAAAAGUCUGCCCUAAUACGGUGGGCUCAUGACGGUACCGUAAGAAUAAGCACCGGCUAACUACGUG